This 322-nucleotide ribosomal RNA is filed under the name uncultured eukaryote. RNAcentral's name for it is "partial 18S ribosomal RNA". It matches the Rfam family "Eukaryotic small subunit ribosomal RNA", at positions 1470 to 1796 of the family's 1831-position model. The record is from RNAcentral.
CCCUUAGAUGUUCUGGGCCGCACGCGUGCUACACUGAGUGGAUCAGCGGGUCAGGUUGCGCGAAAGUGUUUCCUAAUCUUUAAAUCCGCUCGUGAUGGGGAUUGACGGUUGCAAUUUUCCGUCAUGAACGAGGAAUACCUUGUAAGCGCGGGUCAUCAUCCCGCGCUGAAUACGUCCCUGCCCUUUGUAAACACCGCCCGUCGCUCCUACCGAUUGAGUGGUCCGGUGAGGCUUUGGGAUCUGAGCGGAAAGAGCGUUUCGCUGUUUCUGCCCGGAAAACUCAGUCGAACCUUAUCAUUUAGAGGAAGGAGAAGUCGUAACA